Molecule: long non-coding RNA, 561 nt
Filed under: Rattus norvegicus (Norway rat)
Lineage: Eukaryota; Metazoa; Chordata; Mammalia; Rodentia; Muridae
Description: long non-coding RNA NONRATT013081
Source: RNAcentral
UUGCUGCUUUGCUGGUGUGCUGGUUUGCUGCUUUGCUGCUUUGCUGGUUUGCUGGUUUGCUUUGCUGGUUUGCUGGUUUGCUUUGCUGCUUUGCUGGUUUGCUGGUUUGCUGGUUUGCUGGUUUGCUGGUUUGCUGGUUUGCUGGUUUGCUUUGCUGGUUUGCUGGUUUGCUUUGCUGGUUUGCUGGUUUGCUGGUUUGCUGGUUUGCUGGUUUGCUGGAUUGCUGGAUUGCUGGAUAGUUAUCCUCCUGAUGAAGAUUGGAUUUGCCCCUAGGAAUUUGAUGACCCUAAUCAGCAGGAUGUAGUCUGAGAUCGAUGCCCUUUCCCCUCUAACCUUCUGUCUUGCCUACCUGGAUUUGGAGAAUUGGAAAGGAUUGGGGUGGAGAAGGGAAGUAGAGAUUAAAGAACCCAAUCAAGUAGCCAGAAAGUAAGUUACCGUAGCCUUCAAAUUCAUUGAUUGCUUUUUUUUUUACAUCAUUUUAUCUUUUCAUUAUUACUGACAUUUGCCCUGGUUUUUCAUUAUUUCAUAUUAUCUAUUGAUUGGUUGUUCCAAAUUUUGAGU